Molecule: ribosomal RNA, 301 nt
Filed under: uncultured bacterium
Lineage: Bacteria
Description: bacterial SSU rRNA
Rfam family: Bacterial small subunit ribosomal RNA
Source: RNAcentral
AUUGAACGCUGGCGGCAUGCCUUACACAUGCAAGUCGAACGGCAGCACGGGAGCAAUCCUGGUGGCGAGUGGCGAACGGGUGAGUAAUAUAUCGGAACGUGCCCGGUCGUGGGGGAUAACGUAGCGAAAGCUACGCUAAUACCGCAUACGAUCUACGGAUGAAANCGGGGGAUCGCAAGACCUCGCGCGAAUUGGAGCGGCCGAUAUCAGAUUAGGUAGUUGGUGAGGUAAAGGCUCACCAAAGUCCCGACGGAUCUGUAGCUGGUCUGAGAGGACGACCAGCCACACUGGGACUGAGACA